This 75-nucleotide transfer RNA is filed under the name Chryseobacterium arthrosphaerae. Its description in RNAcentral is "tRNA-Lys". It matches the Rfam family "tRNA". Rfam says of the family: Transfer RNA (tRNA) molecules are approximately 80 nucleotides in length. Their secondary structure includes four short double-helical elements and three loops (D, anti-codon, and T loops). Further hydrogen bonds mediate the characteristic L-shaped molecular structure. tRNAs have two regions of fundamental functional importance: the anti-codon, which is responsible for specific mRNA codon recognition, and the 3' end, to which the tRNAs corresponding amino acid is attached (by aminoacyl-tRNA synthetases). tRNAs cope with the degeneracy of the genetic code in two manners: having more than one tRNA (with a specific anti-codon) for a particular amino acid; and 'wobble' base-pairing, i.e. permitting non-standard base-pairing at the 3rd anti-codon position. The record is from RNAcentral. Lineage: Bacteria; Pseudomonadati; Bacteroidota; Flavobacteriia; Flavobacteriales; Weeksellaceae.
GGAUAGGUUAGUUCAGUGGUGGAACAUCUGGCUCUUUAACCGGAUUGACGCAGGUUCGAGCCCUGCACCUAUCCU